Phragmites australis (common reed) is the source of this 834-nucleotide long non-coding RNA. RefSeq lists it as uncharacterized. NCBI's taxonomy places the organism in Eukaryota, Viridiplantae, Streptophyta, Magnoliopsida, Poales, Poaceae. The transcript has 3 exons. The record is from RefSeq and is a predicted model, not a curated record.
UCUGAGCCAAUCUUCUUGGAUGAGAAGCGCAUCUUGGAUGAACCAUGACCAUUCUUGCCUGUGCCAAAAUCCUGUUGUGUUUGUGACUCGAUUCAUCACCCAGAAUGCAUUAGAGAUCACCUUGGGACCACUGCAACUCAGAUUGCUUGGAUAAGUCGAUCCGGCAUCCCUGACCUCUCGACCACUGAAUCCAGCGUUCCCAGGCGCUGCCUCUGAGCCGGCGUUCGUCCCCUCUAUUCUAUUCACCUACGACAAUGAAUUGGAAAGGGGAGUCCUGUGAUAGCCAUUAUCAGAUUUUCGAAGGAGAGAAUCAAAAGAAGAGCAUAGAUGAGUUGCAUGUUUUCUUCAUUGUUUCUUUGACCUCCAAAUUGUUUGCUUCCCAUCAAACCAAAGAAGAGUCAUGUGUGCUACAUGAUUUCGACUUCAGCCCUUCCUGUGAAUUAUGUGAGUCUGGUUACCAAAUCUGGAUGCGGCCAAGCUAAAAUGAAUGUAAGCUCAGAUUGCACAAAAUCAAGACACAAUUUUUGCUCUUUCUUUCUUUCCUAUGAUUAAACUGUUAUUCUGUUUUUCUCAAGGCUUGAUUUAUUCCAUUCUUCUUUUAGGAUAUGGUGAGCUUGUGAUAUGGUUUGAUUUGGACUUCAGUUCCAUUUUUUAACGUGAUUAAACAAUGAAUAUUAGACAGUUUUAUUUCUCCAUGUAAUUUGAGCCAAUGGGAUCCAACUGGAUUGAUGCUAAAUAGAUUUUCAUGUGUUUUUCUAGAUCUAUUUAUCUAUGCCUAACUAAACCAUGUUCCAUGUAAUUCUAAAGUACCAUUUAAGCCAAGUUCUGGCAUCA